RNAcentral lists this ribosomal RNA (431 nucleotides) under uncultured bacterium. RNAcentral describes it as "partial 16S ribosomal RNA". It matches the Rfam family "Bacterial small subunit ribosomal RNA", at positions 29 to 505 of the family's 1533-position model. The record is from RNAcentral.
AACGAACGCUGGCGGCAUGCCUAACACAUGCAAGUCGAACGAGACCUUCGGGUCUAGUGGCGCACGGGUGCGUAACGCGUGGGAACCUGCCCUUAGGUUCGGAAUAACUCCCCGAAAGGGGUGCUAAUACCGGAUAAUAUCUUCGGACCAAAGAUUUAUCGCCUUUGGAUGGGCCCGCGUUGGAUUAGCUAGUUGGUAGGGUAAAAGCCUACCAAGGCGACGAUCCAUAGCUGGUCUGAGAGGAUGAUCAGCCACACUGGGACUGAGACACGGCCCAGACUCCUACGGGAGGCAGCAGUGGGGAAUAUUGGACAAUGGGCGAAAGCCUGAUCCAGCAAUGCCGCGUGAGUGAUGAAGGCCUUAGGGUUGUAAAGCUCUUUUACCCGGGAUGAUAAUGACAGUACCGGGAGAAUAAGCUCCGGCUAACUCCG